This 497-nucleotide ribosomal RNA is filed under the name uncultured bacterium. RNAcentral's name for it is "partial 16S ribosomal RNA". It matches the Rfam family "Bacterial small subunit ribosomal RNA", at positions 28 to 507 of the family's 1533-position model. The record is from RNAcentral.
GAUGAACGCUGGCGGCGUGCCUAAUACAUGCAAGUCGAGCGAACAGAUAAGGAGCUUGCUCCUUUGACGUUAGCGGCGGACGGGUGAGUAACACGUGGGUAACCUACCUAUAAGACUGGAAUAACUCCGGGAAACCGGGGCUAAUGCAGGAUAACAUGUUGAACCGCAUGGUUCUACAGUGAAAGGCGGCUUUGCUGUCACUUAUAGAUGGACCCGCGCCGUAUUAGCUAGUUGGUGAGGUAACGGCUCACCAAGGCAACGAUACGUAGCCGACCUGAGAGGGUGAUCGGCCACACUGGAACUGAGACACGGUCCAGACUCCUACGGGAGGCAGCAGUAGGGAAUCUUCCGCAAUGGGCGAAAGCCUGACGGAGCAACGCCGCGUGAGUGAUGAAGGUCUUCGGAUCGUAAAACUCUGUUAUUAGGGAAGAACAAAUGCGUAAGUAACUGUGCGCGUCUUGACGGUACCUAACCAGAAAGCCACGGCUAACUACGUG